This 766-nucleotide ribosomal RNA is filed under the name uncultured Staphylococcus sp. RNAcentral describes it as "bacterial SSU rRNA". It matches the Rfam family "Bacterial small subunit ribosomal RNA", at positions 28 to 776 of the family's 1533-position model. The record is from RNAcentral. Lineage: Bacteria; Bacillati; Bacillota; Bacilli; Caryophanales; Staphylococcaceae.
GAUGAACGCUGGCGGCGUGCCUAAUACAUGCAAGUCGAGCGAACGGAUAAGGAGCUUGCUCCUUUGAAGUUAGCGGCGGACGGGUGAGUAACACGUGGGUAACCUACCUAUAAGACUGGAAUAACUUCGGGAAACCGGAGCUAAUGCCGGAUAACAUUUGGAACCGCAUGGUUCUAAAGUAAAAGAUGGUUUUGCUAUCACUUAUAGAUGGACCCGCGCCGUAUUAGCUAGUUGGUAAGGUAACGGCUUACCAAGGCAACGAUACGUAGCCGACCUGAGAGGGUGAUCGGCCACACUGGAACUGAGACACGGUCCAGACUCCUACGGGAGGCAGCAGUAGGGAAUCUUCCGCAAUGGACGAAAGUCUGACGGAGCAACGCCGCGUGAGUGAUGAAGGUUUUCGGAUCGUAAAACUCUGUUAUUAGGGAAGAACAAAUGUGUAAGUAACUGUGCACAUCUUGACGGUACCUAAUCAGAAAGCCACGGCUAACUACGUGCCAGCAGCCGCGGUAAUACGUAGGUGGCAAGCGUUAUCCGGAAUUAUUGGGCGUAAAGCGCGCGUAGGCGGUUUCUUAAGUCUGAUGUGAAAGCCCACGGCUCAACCGUGGAGGGUCAUUGGAAACUGGGAAACUUGAGUACAGAAGAGGAAAGUGGAAUUCCAUGUGUAGCGGUGAAAUGCGCAGAGAUAUGGAGGAACACCAGUGGCGAAGGCGACUUUCUGGUCUGUAACUGACGCUGAUGUGCGAAAGCGUGGGGAUCAAACAGG